Molecule: ribosomal RNA, 465 nt
Filed under: Vreelandella stevensii
Lineage: Bacteria; Pseudomonadati; Pseudomonadota; Gammaproteobacteria; Oceanospirillales; Halomonadaceae
Description: partial 16S ribosomal RNA
Rfam family: Bacterial small subunit ribosomal RNA
Source: RNAcentral
CCUACGGGUGGCAGCAGUGGGGAAUAUUGGACAAUAGGCGAAAGCCUGAUCCAGCCAUGCCGCGUGUGUGAAGAAGGCCUUCGGGUUGUAAAGCACUUUCAGUGGGGAAGAAAGCCUUGGGGCUAAUACCCUCGAGGAAGGACAUCACCCACAGAAGAAGCACCGGCUAACUCCGUGCCAGCAGCCGCGGUAAUACGGAGGGUGCGAGCGUUAAUCGGAAUUACUGGGCGUAAAGCGCGCGUAGGCGGUCUGAUAAGCCGGUUGUGAAAGCCCCGGGCUCAACCUGGGAACGGCAUCCGGAACUGUCAGGCUAGAGUGCAGGAGAGGAAGGUAGAAUUCCCGGUGUAGCGGUGAAAUGCGUAGAGAUCGGGAGGAAUACCAGUGGCGAAGGCGGCCUUCUGGACUGACACUGACGCUGAGGUGCGAAAGCGUGGGUAGCAAACAGGAUUAGAUACCCCAGUAGUC